RNAcentral lists this ribosomal RNA (437 nucleotides) under uncultured Oscillospiraceae bacterium. RNAcentral describes it as "partial 16S ribosomal RNA". It matches the Rfam family "Bacterial small subunit ribosomal RNA", at positions 341 to 792 of the family's 1533-position model. The record is from RNAcentral. Lineage: Bacteria; Bacillati; Bacillota; Clostridia; Eubacteriales; Oscillospiraceae.
ACGGGAGGCAGCAGUGGGGAAUAUUGGGCAAUGGGCGAAAGCCUGACCCAGCAACGCCGCGUGAAGGAAGAAGGCCUUCGGGUUGUAAACUUCUUUUAUAGAGGACGAAGAAAGUGACGGUACUCUAUGAAUAAGCCACGGCUAACUACGUGCCAGCAGCCGCGGUAAUACGUAGGUGGCAAGCGUUAUCCGGAUUUACUGGGUGUAAAGGGCGCGUAGGCGGGAAAGCAAGUCAGAUGUGAAAUCCAGGGGCUCAACUCCUGAACUGCAUUUGAAACUGUUUUUCUUGAGUGUCGGAGAGGUAGAUGGAAUUCCUAGUGUAGCGGUGAAAUGCGUAGAUAUUAGGAGGAACACCAGUGGCGAAGGCGAUCUACUGGACGAUAACUGACGCUGAGGCGCGAAAGCGUGGGGAGCAAACAGGAUUAGAUACCCUGGUA